GCCGGGUGUGGUGGCGCACACUUAUAAUCCCAGCAGCUCGGGAGGCUGAGGCAGGAGGAUCGCCAGUUCAAAGCCAGCCUCAGCAAUGGUGAGACACUAAGCAACUCAGUGAGCCUCUGUCUCUA
RNAcentral lists this small RNA (125 nucleotides) under Marmota monax (woodchuck). The record is from RNAcentral. Lineage: Eukaryota; Metazoa; Chordata; Mammalia; Rodentia; Sciuridae.